RNA transcript from Rhincodon typus (whale shark), 1876 nucleotides. It is a transcript of the gene named methyl-CpG binding domain protein 3a, with no coding region annotated. Lineage: Eukaryota; Metazoa; Chordata; Chondrichthyes; Orectolobiformes; Rhincodontidae. The transcript has 9 exons. The record is from RefSeq and is a predicted model, not a curated record.
GGUGGUGAGGCGGCUGCGCGGAGUGUUGUGGAGCGGCGGCGCGAGGCGAGCUGGCGGAGACGGGGCAGGAACCGCCGGCGGCCCGGCCUGAAGCGAAGGGUCUUCCAUCACCCCCUCCCUCCCCCGUCCCUCUCUUACCUUCCCCGCCCCCACACCCUUCCACCACCCCCCACUCGGUUUCCAUUACACCCCCAAACCCCUCCUUUAGGCCUUUGUCCACCCCGAGCCGGCAAUCCUGGAGAUGGAAAGGAAGCGCUUCGAGUGCUCGGCGCUCCCCUCCGGCUGGAAAAGGGAAGAAGUGACUCGAAAGUCAGGCCUGUCGGCGGGGAAGAGCGACGUCUAUUAUUAUAGGUUGCCUGUCCAUCACGCACCAUUCCCUGGCCAAGAAGAGAGGCAGGUGAUCUGCAACCAGGCCUCUGCCAAUGUAGCUCUUGAGCUGUCCACUAGGAGCCCAAGUGGAAAGAAGUUCAGAAGCAAGCCACAGCUUGCGCGUUACCUGGGAAAUUCAAUGGAUCUGAGCAGUUUCGAUUUCCGAACAGGGAAGAUGCUGAUUAGCAAACUGAACAAGAACAGACAGAGACUGCGCUUCGACUCUGCCAACCAGGUCAAGGGCAAACCAGAUCUGAACACUUCACUUCCUGUUAGACAGACAGCUUCAAUCUUCAAACAACCAGUUACUAAAGUGACCAACCACCCCAACAACAAAGUAAAAAUGGAUCCACAGAAAGCUGUAGAACAGCCACGGCAGUUAUUCUGGGAGAAGAAGCUGACUGGAUUGAAUGCCUUUGAUAUUGCUGAAGAAAUCAUAAAGACUAUGGAUCUACCUAAAGGUCUACAAGGCGUGGGGCCAGGAUGCACAGAUGAAACUUUGUUGUCUGCUAUAGCGAGUGCUUUACACACUAGUUCCAAUCCUAUUACUGGACAACUCUCUGCAGCAGUAGAAAAGAAUCCUGGUGUAUGGCUGAAUACCUCCCAACCUCUCUGCAAAGCUUUCAUGGUCACUGAUGAGGACAUUAGAAAGCAAGAAGAACUUGUACAACAGGUGCGGAAGAAGUUGGAGGAGGCACUGAUGGCUGAUAUGCUAGCACAUGCUGAGGAAUCUGGAAAGGAGUCAGAUAUAGCACAAGACAAAGAAGAGGAUGUAUAGCCAAGGUACCUUGAGGAUGAGCAGAAUCUUGCAUUCUCCAUUCCUUGGUGGAGUUGAAUCAAGUUGGUUGGGAAAGCGACAUAAUGGCUGACAGAACCAGUUACACACUUGUUAUCAGGAGAUUAUUAGAAUCCAAUUUUUUCAGGGAAGUGUGGACAUAAAGAUGAGUGAAAAUAUUCAUAAGGAUGAGAAUCACUGAAUAAUUGUAUCAUUUGGAAUUUCUGCAUCCAAACUGGUUUAUAAUAUGUUUGUAGAACUACUUUUCCAGUUUAAAAAUAAAAGUGCUUUUUGUCAGAUGGAAACGGUCAUUGUGAUGGGCAUGUAGACCAUUGCCAGUAAUCAUUUUUAAACUUGAAGUUUGUUUUUAUAUGCUCACAUUUUUUAAAGCUAUGUAAAAUACUGUAAAAUUUGAUAUGUGCAAGUUGUCUGUUGGUAGAUAUAUUCUUUUGUUUGUGGUUUAAUCGUGAAAUAAGCAUACAUACAUCUUUGACGAGCACCAGAGAAUGAAUCCAAUAUUUCUAGUUUUGUAUGUUGCGUUUCUAGACCAUUGCAUUCUUGAUCCUGUAAUGAGGCAAACUGCAUUCAUGCACGUUCUGUGGAAAAUUGUUUUGAAAGUGUUUUAUAAUGCAUGUUUCCAAUUCUUUCCCACCUUCAGUAUGUGUACAUUAUGUGUAGUGAAAGCAAACUGUAAAAGCUGGAAUAGCUUGUUAAUAAAAUCUAUUUACUAAA